CAUAGGUUAAUGAGGCGAACCGGGGGAACUGAAACAUCUAAGUACCCCGAGGAAAAGAAAUCAACCGAGAUUCCCCCAGUAGCGGCGAGCGAACGGGGAGCAGCCCAGAGCCUGAAUCAGUGUGUGUGUUAGUGGAAGCGUCUGGAAAGGCGCGCGAUACAGGGUGACAGCCCCGUACACAAAAAUGCACAUACUGUGAGCUCGAUGAGUAGGGCGGGACACGUGGUAUCCUGUCUGAAUAUGGGGGGACCAUCCUCCAAGGCUAAAUACUCCUGACUGACCGAUAGUGAACCAGUACCGUGAGGGAAAGGCGAAAAGAACCCCGGCGAGGGGAGUGAAAAAGAACCUGAAACCGUGUACGUACAAGCAGUGGGAGCACGCUUAGGCGUGUGACUGCGUACCUUUUGUAUAAUGGGUCAGCGACUUAUAUUCUGUAGCAAGGUUAACCGAAUAGGGGAGCCGAAGGGAAACCGAGUCUUAACUGGGCGUUAAGUUGCAGGGUAUAGACCCGAAACCCGGUGAUCUAGCCAUGGGCAGGUUGAAGGUUGGGUAACACUAACUGGAGGACCGAACCGACUAAUGUUGAAAAAUUAGCGGAUGACUUGUGGCUGGGGGUGAAAGGCCAAUCAAACCGGGAGAUAGCUGGUUCUCCCCGAAAGCUAUUUAGGUAGCGCCUCGUGAAUUCAUCUCCGGGGGUAGAGCACUGUUUCGGCAAGGGGGUCAUCCCGACUUACCAACCCGAUGCAAACUGCGAAUACCGGAGAAUGUUAUCACGGGAGACACACGGCGGGUGCUAACGUCCGUCGUGAAGAGGGAAACAACCCAGACCGCCAGCUAAGGUCCCAAAGUCAUGGUUAAGUGGGAAACGAUGUGGGAAGGCCCAGACAGCCAGGAUGUUGGCUUAGAAGCAGCCAUCAUUUAAAGAAAGCGUAAUAGCUCACUGGUCGAGUCGGCCUGCGCGGAAGAUGUAACGGGGCUAAACCAUGCACCGAAGCUGCGGCAGCGACGCUGAUGCGUUGUUGGGUAGGGGAGCGUUCUGUAAGCCUGUGAAGGUGUGCUGUGAGGCAUGCUGGAGGUAUCAGAAGUGCGAAUGCUGACAUAAGUAACGAUAAAGCGGGUGAAAAGCCCGCUCGCCGGAAGACCAAGGGUU
This 1150-nucleotide ribosomal RNA is filed under the name Escherichia coli. RNAcentral's name for it is "partial 23S ribosomal RNA". It matches the Rfam family "Bacterial large subunit ribosomal RNA", at positions 165 to 1353 of the family's 2925-position model. The record is from RNAcentral. Lineage: Bacteria; Pseudomonadati; Pseudomonadota; Gammaproteobacteria; Enterobacterales; Enterobacteriaceae.